RNAcentral lists this ribosomal RNA (382 nucleotides) under uncultured eukaryote. Its description in RNAcentral is "partial 18S ribosomal RNA". It matches the Rfam family "Eukaryotic small subunit ribosomal RNA", at positions 592 to 976 of the family's 1831-position model. The record is from RNAcentral.
UGUAAGCGUAUACCAAAGUUGUUGCAGUUAAAACGCUCGUAGUCGGAAUUUGGCAGUUCCGGAAGUGUGCACGUCGUGUGCGCACUUUGCGGGGACUGCUUUUGUGGUCUUGCGUAGGAUGAGGCACUUUCAUUAGUGAACGUCCUCACGCAACCACUCUUUACUGUGAGAAAAUCAGAGUGCUCAAAGCAGGCAUUUGCCGUGAAUGUAUUAGCAUGGAAUAAUAGAAUAGGACUCGGUUCUAUUUUGUUGGUUUGUUGGGACUGAGUAAUGAUUAAGAGGGACAGUUGGGGGCAUUUGUAUUCCGGUGCUAGAGGUGAAAUUCUUAGAUUACCGAAAGACAAACUGCUGCGAAAGCGUCUGCCAAGGAUGUUUUCAUUGA